GACGAACGCUGGCGGCGUGCUUAACACAUGCCAGUCGAACGGUGAAGGGACCGGUUUUUGCUGGUUCUGGAUGAGUGGCGAACGGGUGAGUAACACGUGAGUAACCUGCCCCCUUCUUCUGGAUAACCGCAUGAAAGUGUGGCUAAUACGGGAUAUUCUGCGCCUGCUGCAUGGUGGGUGUGGGAAAGAUAUUGUUUCGGUGGGGGAUGGGCUCGCGGCCUAUCAGCUUGUUGGUGGGGUGAUGGCCUACCAAGGCGGUGACGGGUAGCCGGCCUGAGAGGGUGGACGGUCACAAUGGGAAUGAGACACGGCCCAGACUCCUACGGGAGGCAGCAGGGGGGAAUAUUGCACAAUGGGCGGAAGCCUGAUGCAGCGACGCCGCGUGAGGGAUGGAGGCCUUCGGGUUGUAAACCUCUUUCGCCAGUGAAGCAGGCCUGUCCCUUUUGUGGGUGGGUUGACGGUAGCUGGAUAAGAAGCGCCGGCUAACUACGUG
This 493-nucleotide ribosomal RNA is filed under the name uncultured bacterium. Its description in RNAcentral is "partial 16S ribosomal RNA". It matches the Rfam family "Bacterial small subunit ribosomal RNA", at positions 28 to 507 of the family's 1533-position model. The record is from RNAcentral.